RNAcentral lists this ribosomal RNA (377 nucleotides) under uncultured eukaryote. RNAcentral's name for it is "partial 18S ribosomal RNA". It matches the Rfam family "Eukaryotic small subunit ribosomal RNA", at positions 592 to 976 of the family's 1831-position model. The record is from RNAcentral.
CAAUAGCGUAUAUUUAAGUUGCUGCAGUUAAAAAGCUCGUAGUUGGAUUUCGGGUGGGAAUGGCCGGUCCGCCGUUUCGGUGUGCACUUGCUACGCCCACCUUGCUGCCGGGGACGUGCUCUUGAGUUCACGCUCGGGACACGGAGUCGGCGAGGUUACUUUGAGUAAAUUAGAGUGUUCAAAGCAGGCCUACGCUCUGAAUACAUUCGCAUGGAAUAACACGAUAGGACUCUGGCCUAUCUUGUUGGUCUGUAGGACCGGAGUAAUGAUUAAGAGGGACAGUCGGGGGCAUUCGUAUUUCAUUGUCAGAGGUGAAAUUCUUGGAUUUAUGAAAGACGAACUACUGCGAAAGCAUUUGCCAAGGAUGUUUUCAUUAA